GAUGAACGCUGGCGGCGUGCCUAAUACAUGCAAGUCGAGCGAACAGACGAGGAGCUUGCUCCUUCGACGUUAGCGGCGGACGGGUGAGUAACACGUAAGUAACCUACCUAUAAGACUGGGAUAACUGCGGGAAACCGGAGCUAAGACCGGAUAAUAUGUCGAACCUCAUGGUUCGAUAGUGAAAGAUGUCUUUUCUAUCACUUAUAGAUGGACCUGCGCCUUGUUCGAUAGUUGGUAAGGUAACGGCUUACCAAGGCAACGAUACGUAGCCGACCUGAGAGGGUGAUUGGCCACCCUGGAAGUGAGAGAGGGUCCAGACUCCUACGGGAGGCAGCAGUAGGGAAUCUUCCGCAAUGGGCGAAAGCCUGACGGAGCAACGCCGCGUGAGUGAUGAAGGUCUUCGGAUCGUAAAACUCUGUUAUUAGGGAAGAACAAACGUGUAAGUAACUGUGCACGUAUUGACGGUACCUAAUCAGAAAGCCACGGCUAACUACGUG
Molecule: ribosomal RNA, 497 nt
Filed under: uncultured bacterium
Lineage: Bacteria
Description: partial 16S ribosomal RNA
Rfam family: Bacterial small subunit ribosomal RNA
Source: RNAcentral